CAUUAUUGUCGCUGCCUUCCAUGGGUGAUCUAUGCUGGGGCUUGCAGCAGUUUCACACUGCUCCAUGGUCUGCUCCUGGAUCCACAACUCCUCCUCUCCCCUGGCCUGGCUGCUACAGCAGGGGAAAAUGGACACAAUUCGAUGGAUAUCAAUCAAAGAGGCAUACAGACGAGGAGGCAUACAGGUAUGCCUAUUGGUAUGUUAUGGAGAUCACAUGUACCACCCUCCUGCCUUACCUCUUCAAUGAAAACCCCAUAGGCCUCUACAAUACGGAUAAG
This is a non-coding RNA of Salmo salar (Atlantic salmon), 278 nucleotides long. Lineage: Eukaryota; Metazoa; Chordata; Actinopteri; Salmoniformes; Salmonidae. The record is from RefSeq and is a predicted model, not a curated record.